This 386-nucleotide ribosomal RNA is filed under the name Sarsia sp. RNAcentral describes it as "partial small subunit ribosomal RNA". It matches the Rfam family "Eukaryotic small subunit ribosomal RNA", at positions 582 to 975 of the family's 1831-position model. Lineage: Eukaryota; Metazoa; Cnidaria; Hydrozoa; Anthoathecata; Corynidae. The record is from RNAcentral.
AUUCCAGUUCCAAUAGCGUAUAUUAAAGUUGUUGCAGUUAAAAAGCUCGUAGUUGGAUUUCGGAAUGGGUCAAUUAGUCCGCCGCAAGAUGAGUUACUGGUUGGUCUGUUCUUCUUCGCAAGACUGCGUAUGCACUUUAUUGGGUGUGCGUAGGAUUUACGACGUUUACUUUGAAAAAAUUAGAGUGUUCAAAGCAGGCUAUCGUUUGAAUACAUGAGCAUGGAAUAAUGGAAUAGGACUUUGAUCUUAAUUUAUUGGUUUCUGAGACCGAAGUAAUGAUUAAGAGGGACAAUUGGGGGCAUCCGUAUUUCGUUUUCAGAGGUAAAAUUCUUGGAUUUACGAAAGACGAACAACUGCGAAUGCACUUGCAAAGAAUGUUUUCAUCA